GGGUUGUGAGGUUAAGCGACUAAGCGUACACGGUGGAUGCCCUGGCAGUCAGAGGCGAUGAAGGACGUGCUAAUCUGCGAUAAGCGUCGGUAAGGUGAUAUGAACCGUUAUAACCGGCGAUUUCCGAAUGGGGAAACCCAGUGUGUUUCGACACACUAUCAUUAACUGAAUCCAUAGGUUAAUGAGGCGAACCGGGGGAACUGAAACAUCUAAGUACCCCGAGGAAAAGAAAUCAACCGAGAUUCCCCCAGUAGCGGCGAGCGAACGGGGAGCAGCCCAGAGCCUGAAUCAGUGUGUGUGUUAGUGGAAGCGUCUGGAAAGGCGCGCGAUACAGGGUGACAGCCCCGUACACAAAAAUGCACAUGCUGUGAGCUCGAUGAGUAGGGCGGGACACGUGGUAUCCUGUCUGAAUAUGGGGGGACCAUCCUCCAAGGCUAAAUACUCCUGACUGACCGAUAGUGAACCAGUACCGUGAGGGAAAGGCGAAAAGAACCCCGGCGAGGGGAGUGAAAAAGAACCUGAAACCGUGUACGUACAAGCAGUGGGAGCACGCUUAGGCGUGUGACUGCGUACCUUUUGUAUAAUGGGUCAGCGACUUAUAUUCUGUAGCAAGGUUAACCGAAUAGGGGAGCCGAAGGGAAACCGAGUCUUAACUGGGCGUUAAGUUGCAGGGUAUAGACCCGAAACCCGGUGAUCUAGCCAUGGGCAGGUUGAAGGUUGGGUAACACUAACUGGAGGACCGAACCGACUAAUGUUGAAAAAUUAGCGGAUGACUUGUGGCUGGGGGUGAAAGGCCAAUCAAACCGGGAGAUAGCUGGUUCUCCCCGAAAGCUAUUUAGGUAGCGCCUCGUGAAUUCAUCUCCGGGGGUAGAGCACUGUUUCGGCAAGGGGGUCAUCCCGACUUACCAACCCGAUGCAAACUGCGAAUACCGGAGAAUGUUAUCACGGGAGACACACGGCGGGUGCUAACGUCCGUCGUGAAGAGGGAAACAACCCAGACCGCCAGCUAAGGUCCCAAAGUCAUGGUUAAGUGGGAAACGAUGUGGGAAGGCCCAGACAGCCAGGAUGUUGGCUUAGAAGCAGCCAUCAUUUAAAGAAAGCGUAAUAGCUCACUGGUCGAGUCGGCCUGCGCGGAAGAUGUAACGGGGCUAAACCAUGCACCGAAGCUGCGGCAGCGACGCUUAUGCGUUGUUGGGUAGGGGAGCGUUCUGUAAGCCUGUGAAGGUGUGCUGUGAGGCAUGCUGGAGGUAUCAGAAGUGCGAAUGCUGACAUAAGUAACGAUAAAGCGGGUGAAAAGCCCGCUCGCCGGAAGACCAAGGGUUCCUGUCCAACGUUAAUCGGGGCAGGGUGAGUCGACCCCUAAGGCGAGGCCGAAAGGCGUAGUCGAUGGGAAACAGGUUAAUAUUCCUGUACUUGGUGUUACUGCGAAGGGGGGACGGAGAAGGCUAUGUUGGCCGGGCGACGGUUGUCCCGGUUUAAGCGUGUAGGCUGGUUUUCCAGGCAAAUCCGGAAAAUCAAGGCUGAGGCGUGAUGACGAGGCACUACGGUGCUGAAGCAACAAAUGCCCUGCUUCCAGGAAAAGCCUCUAAGCAUCAGGUAACAUCAAAUCGUACCCCAAACCGACACAGGUGGUCAGGUAGAGAAUACCAAGGCGCUUGAGAGAACUCGGGUGAAGGAACUAGGCAAAAUGGUGCCGUAACUUCGGGAGAAGGCACGCUGAUAUGUAGGUGAAGUCCCUUGCGGAUGGAGCUGAAAUCAGUCGAAGAUACCAGCUGGCUGCAACUGUUUAUUAAAAACACAGCACUGUGCAAACACGAAAGUGGACGUAUACGGUGUGACGCCUGCCCGGUGCCGGAAGGUUAAUUGAUGGGGUUAGCGGUAACGCGAAGCUCUUGAUCGAAGCCCCGGUAAACGGCGGCCGUAACUAUAACGGUCCUAAGGUAGCGAAAUUCCUUGUCGGGUAAGUUCCGACCUGCACGAAUGGCGUAAUGAUGGCCAGGCUGUCUCCACCCGAGACUCAGUGAAAUUGAACUCGCUGUGAAGAUGCAGUGUACCCGCGGCAAGACGGAAAGACCCCGUGAACCUUUACUAUAGCUUGACACUGAACAUUGAGCCUUGAUGUGUAGGAUAGGUGGGAGGCUUUGAAGUGUGGACGCCAGUCUGCAUGGAGCCGACCUUGAAAUACCACCCUUUAAUGUUUGAUGUUCUAACGUUGACCCGUAAUCCGGGUUGCGGACAGUGUCUGGUGGGUAGUUUGACUGGGGCGGUCUCCUCCUAAAGAGUAACGGAGGAGCACGAAGGUUGGCUAAUCCUGGUCGGACAUCAGGAGGUUAGUGCAAUGGCAUAAGCCAGCUUGACUGCGAGCGUGACGGCGCGAGCAGGUGCGAAAGCAGGUCAUAGUGAUCCGGUGGUUCUGAAUGGAAGGGCCAUCGCUCAACGGAUAAAAGGUACUCCGGGGAUAACAGGCUGAUACCGCCCAAGAGUUCAUAUCGACGGCGGUGUUUGGCACCUCGAUGUCGGCUCAUCACAUCCUGGGGCUGAAGUAGGUCCCAAGGGUAUGGCUGUUCGCCAUUUAAAGUGGUACGCGAGCUGGGUUUAGAACGUCGUGAGACAGUUCGGUCCCUAUCUGCCGUGGGCGCUGGAGAACUGAGGGGGGCUGCUCCUAGUACGAGAGGACCGGAGUGGACGCAUCACUGGUGUUCGGGUUGUCAUGCCAAUGGCACUGCCCGGUAGCUAAAUGCGGAAGAGAUAAGUGCUGAAAGCAUCUAAGCACGAAACUUGCCCCGAGAUGAGUUCUCCCUGACCCUUUAAGGGUCCUGAAGGAACGUUGAAGACGACGACGUUGAUAGGCCGGGUGUGUAAGCGCAGCGAUGCGUUGAGCUAACCGGUACUAAUGAACCGUGAGGCUUAACCUUACAACGCCGAAGCUGUU
This 2932-nucleotide ribosomal RNA is filed under the name Escherichia coli. RNAcentral's name for it is "23S ribosomal RNA". It matches the Rfam family "Bacterial large subunit ribosomal RNA". The record is from RNAcentral. Lineage: Bacteria; Pseudomonadati; Pseudomonadota; Gammaproteobacteria; Enterobacterales; Enterobacteriaceae.